This 406-nucleotide ribosomal RNA is filed under the name uncultured bacterium. Its description in RNAcentral is "partial 16S ribosomal RNA". It matches the Rfam family "Bacterial small subunit ribosomal RNA", at positions 30 to 526 of the family's 1533-position model. The record is from RNAcentral.
AUUGAACGCUGGCGGCAGGCCUAACACAUGCAAGUCGAACGAGUGGCGGACGGGUGAGUAAUGUCUGGGAAACUGCCUGAUGGAGGGGGAUAACUACUGGAAACGGUAGCUAAUACCGCAUACCAUCGGAUGUGCCCAGAUGGGAUUAGCUAGUUGGUGGGGUAACGGCUCACCAAGGCGACGAUCCCUAGCUGGUCUGAGAGGAUGACCAGCCACCAUGGAACUGAGACACGGUCCAGACUCCUACGGGAGGCAGCAGUGGGGAAUAUUGCACAAUGGGCGCAAGCCUGAUGCAGCAAUGCCGCGUGUAUGAAGAAGGCCUUCGGGUUGUAAAGUACUUUCAGCGAGGAAGCGUUACUCGCAGAGGAAGCACCGGCUAACUCCGUGCCAGCAGCCGCGGUAAUAC